CAGCAGCCACGGUAACACCAGCAGCCCAAGUGGUGGUCGCGCUUAUUGGGCCUAAAGCGCUCGUAGCCUGGCCGGUAAGUUCCCCGUGAAAUCGGGUCGCCCAACGAUUCGGCUUGCGGGGAAUACUGUCGGUCUUGGGGCCGGGAGACGCCGAGGGUACUCCGGGGGUAGCGGUGAAAUGCUGUAAUCCUCGGGGGACUACCAGUGGCGAAGGCGCUCGGCGAUAACGGGCCUGACGGUGAGGGGCGAAAGCUGGGGGCGCGAACGGGAUUAGAUACCCCGGUAGUCCCUGUCUCUUAUA
RNAcentral lists this ribosomal RNA (301 nucleotides) under uncultured bacterium. Its description in RNAcentral is "partial 16S ribosomal RNA". It matches the Rfam family "Archaeal small subunit ribosomal RNA", at positions 459 to 759 of the family's 1478-position model. The record is from RNAcentral.